AAACUGAAGAGUUUGAUCAUGGCUCAGAUUGAACGCUGGCGGCAGGCUUAACACAUGCAAGUCGAGCGGUAACAGAGAGU
Molecule: ribosomal RNA, 80 nt
Filed under: Amphritea pacifica
Lineage: Bacteria; Pseudomonadati; Pseudomonadota; Gammaproteobacteria; Oceanospirillales; Oceanospirillaceae
Description: Amphritea sp. ZJ14W partial 16S ribosomal RNA
Rfam family: Bacterial small subunit ribosomal RNA
Source: RNAcentral